GGGGCAGCAUGACUGUAGCAAUACAGUUGAUGGCGACCGGCAAACGGGUGCGGAACACGUACACAACCUUCCUUUAAGCGGGGAAUAGCCCGGGGAAACCCGGAUUAAUACCCCAUAGUAUAUUGAAGAGGCAUUUCUUUACUAUUAAAGAUUUAUCACUUGAAGAUGGGUGUGCGGCUGAUUAGCUAGUUGGCGGGGUAACGGCCCACCAAGGCAACGAUCAGUAACUGGUGUGAGAGCACGACCAGUCACACGGGCACUGAGACACGGGCCCGACUCCUACGGGAGGCAGCAGUAAGGAAUAUUGGUCAAUGGACGCAAGUCUGAACCAGCCAUGCCGCGUGGAGGAUGAAGGUCCUCUGGAUUGUAAACUUCUUUUAUCUGGGACGAAAAAAGAUCUUUCUAGAUCAACCGACGGUACCAGGUGAAUAAGCACCGGCUAACUCCGUGCCAGCAGCCGCG
Molecule: ribosomal RNA, 462 nt
Filed under: uncultured soil bacterium
Lineage: Bacteria
Description: bacterial SSU rRNA
Rfam family: Bacterial small subunit ribosomal RNA
Source: RNAcentral